CCUACGGGGGGCAGCAGUGGGGAAUAUUGCACAAUGGGGGAAACCCUGAUGCAGCGACGCCGCGUGAGUGAAGAAGUAUUUCGGUAUGUAAAGCUCUAUCAGCAGGGAAGAAAAUGACGGUACCUGAUUAAGAAGCCCCGGCUAACUACGUGCCAGCAGCCGGGGUAAUACGUAGGGGGCAAGCGUUAUCCGGAUUUACUGGGGGUAAAGGGAGCGUAGACGGCAGCACAAGUCUGGAGUGAAAUGCCGGGGCUUAACCCCGGAACUGCUUUGGAAACUGUGCAACUAGAGUGCAGGAGGGGGAAGUGGAAUUCCUGGUGUAGCGGUGAAAUGCGUAGAUAGUAGGAGGAACA
This 353-nucleotide ribosomal RNA is filed under the name uncultured bacterium. RNAcentral describes it as "partial 16S ribosomal RNA". It matches the Rfam family "Bacterial small subunit ribosomal RNA", at positions 338 to 708 of the family's 1533-position model. The record is from RNAcentral.